Molecule: ribosomal RNA, 1351 nt
Filed under: metagenome
Description: SSU rRNA
Rfam family: Eukaryotic small subunit ribosomal RNA
Source: RNAcentral
ACCAGCCGAGCUUCGGCUCGAACUGUUCGGUGUCUCUGGAUAACGAUGAGCGGAUCGCAUGGCCUUGAGCCGGCGACGUAUCUUUCAAGUGUCUGACCUAUCAACUGACGAUGGUACGCGAUAUGCCUACCAUGGUGAUAACGGGUAACGGAGAAUAAGGGUUCGACUCCGGAGAGGGAGCCUGAGAAAUGGCUACCACAUCCAAGGAUGGCAGCAGGCGCGCAAAUUACCCACUCUCAGUACGAGGAGGUAGUGACGAAAAAUAACAAUGCGGGACUCAUCAGAGGCCUCGCAAUUGGAAUGAGCGCACUUUAAAUCGUUCGACGAGGAUCUAUUGGAGGGCAAGUCUGGUGCCAGCAGCCGCGGUAAUUCCAGCUCCAAUAGCGUAUAUUAAAGUUGUUGCAGUUAAAAAGCUCGUAGUUGGAUCUGGGGUUCGGGUCGGCGGUUUGCCGCUUCGGCGGCUACUGCCGUGCUCGACUCUUACUAGCCGGUGCGUCUUGCGGUGCUCUUCAUCGAGUGCCGUAGGAGCCUGGCAUGUUUACUUUGAAAAAAUUAGAGUGCUCAAAGCAGGCGAUUCCGCCUGAAUAGUGUUGCAUGGAAUAAUGGAAUAGGACCUCGGUUCUAUUUUGUUGGUUUUCGGAACUUGAGGUAAUGAUUAAGAGGGACGGUCGGGGGCAUUCGUAUUUCGGUGUUAGAGGUGAAAUUCUUGGAUCGCUGAAAGACGGACAAAUGCGAAAGCAUCUGCCAAGAACGUCUCCAUUAAUCAAGAACGAAAGUCAGAGUUCGAAGACGAUCAGACACCGUCCUAGUUCUGACCAUAAACGAUGCCAACUAGCGAUCCGCAGUGGUUGCUAUAAACGGACUCUGCGAGCAGCUUCCGGGAAACCAAAGUGUUUGGGUUCCGGGGGAAGUAUGGUUGCAAAGCUGAAACUUAGAGGAAUUGACGGAAGGGCACCACCAGGAGUGGAGCCUGCGGCUUAAUUUGACUCAACACGGGGAAACUCACCCGGUCCGGACACUGUAAGGAUUGACAGAUCGAGAGCUCUUUCUUGAUUCGGUGGAUGGUGGUGCAUGGCCGUUCUUAGUUGGUGGAGUGAUUUGUCUGGUUAAUUCCGAUAACGAACGAGACUCUAGCCUGCUAACUAGUUGCGCCGUGUUCAUACGCGGCUGUAGACUUCUUAGAGGGACAGGUGGCGUUUAGCCACACGAAAUUGAGCAAUAACAGGUCUGUGAUGCCCUUAGAUGUCCGGGGCCGCACGCGCGCUACACUGAAGGAGUCAGCGUGUGCUAUCCGGGCUCGGAAGAGUUCGGUAACCCGUUGAAACUCCUUCGUGCUUGGGAUUGUGGCUUG